Molecule: ribosomal RNA, 292 nt
Filed under: uncultured bacterium
Lineage: Bacteria
Description: partial 16S ribosomal RNA
Source: RNAcentral
GGACUACUCGGGUAUCUAAUCCCGUUUGCUCCCCUAGCUUUCGUCCAUGAGCGUCAGAUGCUUCCCAGAAAGCUGCCUACGCCAUCGGUGUUCUUCCGGAUAUCUACGCAUUUCACCACUCCACCCGGAGUUCCGCUUUCCUCUGAAGCCCUCAAGUCUGCCAGUUUUCGGAGCACUUUCCCAGUUGAGCCGGGAACUGUCACCCCAAACUUAGCAGACCGCCUGCGGACGCUUUACGCCCAAUAAAUCCGGACAACGCUUGCCCCCUACGUAUUACCGCGGCUGCUGGCAC